UACGUAGGUGGCAAGCGUUGUCCGGAUUUACUGGGUGUAAAGGGCGUGUAGCCGGGUCGGCAAGUCAGAUGUGAAAUCUGGAGGCUCAACCUCCAAACUGCAUUUGAAACUGUUGAUCUUGAGUAUCGGAGAGGUAAUCGGAAUUCCUAGUGUAGCGGUGAAAUGCGUAGAUAUUAGGAGGAACACCAGUGGCGAAGGCGGAUUACUGGACGACAACUGACGGUGAGGCGCGAAAGCGUGGGGAGCAAACAGG
Molecule: ribosomal RNA, 253 nt
Filed under: Oscillibacter ruminantium GH1
Lineage: Bacteria; Bacillati; Bacillota; Clostridia; Eubacteriales; Oscillospiraceae
Description: partial 16S ribosomal RNA
Rfam family: Bacterial small subunit ribosomal RNA
Source: RNAcentral